Molecule: long non-coding RNA, 1605 nt
Organism: Ictalurus punctatus (channel catfish)
Lineage: Eukaryota; Metazoa; Chordata; Actinopteri; Siluriformes; Ictaluridae
Source: Ensembl
GUGCUGUAUCGCGUUUUCAACGUAUAAAGAGCACCAGUGUGUAUGGACACACAGGAUGAAUGGGAACAAGUUUUGUUAUGGUACUUUUGAUGAAAAGUUACUUUCUACACUUCAAAUGUCACUUUUUUCAACUUAUCAUACUUUAUCAUCAAGUUUUACAUUUUAAUGUAAACAAUCAUAUUUCGUAUUAUUUUAGGUCAGAAACAUUUCAUAGUACUACAUUAUGUCUAACUAUGUGCAAAAAAUCAAAUUGGAGUACGUCGGGCACUUGAUUACAUGAGUUUGUUAGAAAAACCACUUUCCUUUGCUCCUAGCGCCUUCUCGUUCGCUGUAUAGCGUUUUGAGCGGAUAAAGAGCACAAGUGUGCAUGGACACAUAGGAUGAAUGGAAACAUGUUUGUUAUGGUACUUUUGAUGAAAAGUGAAUUUCUGACCUUCAAAUGUCACUUUUUUCAACUUAUCAUACGUUAUCAUCAAGUUUUACAUUUUAAUGUAAACAAUCGUAUUUCGUAUUAUUUUAGGUCAGAAACAUUUCAUAGUACUACAUUAUGUCUAACUAUGUGAAAAAAAUCAAAUUGGAGUACGUCGGGCACUUGAUUACAUGAGUUUGUUAGAAAAACCACUUUCCUUUGCUCCUAGCGCCUUCUCGUUCGCUGUAUAGCGUUUUGAGCGGAUAAAGAGCACAAGUGUGCAUGGACACAUAGGAUGAAUGGAAACAAGUUUUGUUAUGGUACUUUUGAUGAAAAGUGAAUUUCUGACCUUCAAAUGUCACUUUUUUCAACUUAUCAUACGUUAUCAUCAAGUUUUACAUUUUAAUGUAAACAAUCAUAUUUCGUAUUAUUUUAGGUCAGAAACAUUUCAUAGUACUACUAUUAUGUCUAACUAUGUGAAAAAAAUCAAAUUGGAGUACGUCGGGCACUUGAUUACAUGAGUUUGUUAGAAAAACCACUUUCCUUUGCUCCUAGCGCCUUCUCGUUCGCUGUAUAGCGUUUUGAGCGGAUAAAGAGCACAAGUGUGCAUGGACACAUAGGAUGAAUGGAAACAAGUUUUGUUAUGGUACUUUUGAUGAAAAGUGAAUUUCUGACCUUCAAAUGUCACUUUUUUCAACUUAUCAUACGUUAUCAUCAAGUUUUACAUUUUAAUGUAAACAAUCAUAUUUCGUAUUAUUUUAGGUCAGAAACAUUUCAUAGUAGUAUAUUAUGUCUAACUAUGUGAAAAAAAUCAAAUUGGAGUACGUCGGGCAAUUGAUUACAUGAGUUUGUUAGAAAAACCACUUUCCUUUGCUCCUAGCGCCUUCUCGAAGCGCUGUAUAGCGUUUUGAGCGGAUAAAGAGCACAAGUGUGCAUGGACACAUAGGAUGAAUGGAAACAAGUUUUGUUAUGGUACUUUUGAUGAAAAGUGAAUUUCUGACCUUCAAAUGUCACUUUUUUCAACUUAUCAUACGUUAUCAUCAAGUUUUACAUUUUAAUGUAAACAAUCAUAUUUCGUAUUAUUUUAGGGUCAGAAACAUUUCAUAGUACUAUAUUAUGUCUAACUAUGUGAAAAAAAUCAAAUUGGAGUACGUCGGGCAAUUGAUUACAUGAGUUUGUUAGAAAAACCACUUUCC